ACCACCAUCCUGGUUUGCCUAGGACUGAGGAGUUUCCUAGGUUGUGGGACUUUCACUGCUAACACCAGG
Molecule: microRNA precursor, 69 nt
Filed under: Pteropus vampyrus (large flying fox)
Lineage: Eukaryota; Metazoa; Chordata; Mammalia; Chiroptera; Pteropodidae
Description: miRNA (ENSPVAG00000027971.1)
Source: RNAcentral